GUUGGCUUCAUCCAAAAAUUACCGACAACUCUGGUUGCAGCCUUUAGGGCAACACUUGAAGAAAUCGCUGAGUCUUCAAUUUUAGUGCAUGUUGUGGACAUCAGUCACCCACUAGCAGAGCAACAGAUAGAGGCUGUUGAGAAAGUUCUUUCAGAACUGGAUACAUCAUCAAUACCAAAGUUGAUGUUGUGGAACAAGGUUGAUAAAGCUGAAGAUCCAGAGAAAAUCAAGUUAGAAGCCAAGAUGAGAAACGAUGUGGUUUGCGUCUCUGCUUUAACUGGUGAAG
This 286-nucleotide unclassified non-coding RNA is filed under the name Hevea brasiliensis (rubber tree). Lineage: Eukaryota; Viridiplantae; Streptophyta; Magnoliopsida; Malpighiales; Euphorbiaceae. The record is from RNAcentral.